Molecule: unclassified non-coding RNA, 350 nt
Filed under: fungal sp.
Lineage: Eukaryota; Fungi
Description: partial internal transcribed spacer region
Rfam family: Eukaryotic small subunit ribosomal RNA (bases 1-46)
Source: RNAcentral
AAGUCGUAACAAGGUUUCCGUAGGUGAACCUUCGGAAGGAUCAUUGUCCAAAACAUUAAAACAACCUGUGAACCUUCAGCGUGUUCUUGCAGGACAUCAAAACAGUAAUCCCGAGUAAAAUCAGCUAAAGAAUCACAGAUUUUGAUUUUGGGAAGUUCUGUGUGAACGUGGACGCUGCAAUUGAGCGCUAGAUAAAGCACCCUGGUACCCUAGAGCACUCCCCUGUCUGAAAGCGGCAGGGAUCAAUGUUCAGGUGUAGGUCCACACGACCGGCGACCGGGGUGGAGACGAAAGCCCCUAUGUACCCUCCGGGACUUGGCGAAAGCUGUCGUCAGGAUAUCUUGGUUCUC